Molecule: ribosomal RNA, 460 nt
Filed under: uncultured bacterium
Lineage: Bacteria
Description: partial 16S ribosomal RNA
Rfam family: Bacterial small subunit ribosomal RNA
Source: RNAcentral
CCUACGGGUGGCAGCAGUGAGGAAUAUUGGUCAAUGGGCGAGAGCCUGAACCAGCCAAGUCGCGUGAAGGAUGACGGCCCUACGGGUUGUAAACUUCUUUUGUCAGGGAGCAAUUGGGUCCACGCGUGGGCUUAGCGAGAGUACCUGAAGAAAAAGCAUCGGCUAACUCCGUGCCAGCAGCCGCGGUAAUACGGAGGAUGCGAGCGUUAUCCGGAUUUAUUGGGUUUAAAGGGUGCGUAGGCGGAUUUUUAAGUCAGCGGUAAAAUGUCCGGGCUCAACCCGGGCCGGCCGUUGAAACUGGGGAUCUUGAGUGGGCGAGAAGUAUGCGGAAUGCGUGGUGUAGCGGUGAAAUGCAUAGAUAUCACGCAGAACUCCGAUUGCGAAGGCAGCAUACCGGCGCCCGACUGACGCUGAGGCACGAAAGCGUGGGGAUCGAACAGGAUUAGAUACCCCAGUAGUC